This is a long non-coding RNA of Pseudophryne corroboree (corroboree frog), 760 nucleotides long. RefSeq lists it as uncharacterized. The record is from RefSeq and is a predicted model, not a curated record. NCBI's taxonomy places the organism in Eukaryota, Metazoa, Chordata, Amphibia, Anura, Myobatrachidae. The transcript is spliced from 4 exons.
UGCCUAUAUCAGGGCUGUGCUGUAGCUGUCUCUUGCAUAUGCCUCCAGAGGCCUGGCAUGGCAUAGCACACUGGCAGAAGAGCCGCUGGCGGGACCAACCCCAGUCAGAAUACAGACGCCGGGAUCCCGACACUAGUCUGAAUGCCGACACCAGCAUUUAGAAUGGGGGCAACAUCCCGGUGCUGGAGUCCCGACUACCAGGAUCCCGAACGAGAAGGCACCGCAACGUUGCAGAGUUCUUCUAAAAAAUCGCUUCUCUGCGACCUAUUCUCCGUCACUUGCAUACACAAAUCUUGUGCUGCAUCUCUCUACCCUUGGCUGUGACUCCCUCCCAUUGGAUGCGACUGUCGUACAUACCUGAGAUGAGUCUGAACAGCGACAGGAGGCGUGCCUUCACCGACAGUGCUGAAAUGAUGAAAAUCCCAGCACAUAAUGGAAAUAUAUAGAAGUUAAUGGCCGGACUGUGGCGCUAAUAAGUACCCAAGUGGAUUGGAGCUUCUGACUUGCUACGCUAAUUUUCAGUGGAGAAAGGAUUUCGGGAAUGGAGAGACAGCUGCAUCGAUGUCGGUAAACACCUGGCAUCACCUCUCAGCCUGUCAUUAGGAUUUAACGGCCAGCAAUCAUUUACUAUAUUGACAAAACAUGAUCAUAGUCAUGAAAUACACACACAAAUGAGGUAAAUACCACUUCAGCUCCACCAAAGGGGAAGAGGAGGAGAAGGAGGAGGAGGAAAAGGAGGAAAUAAUCAUGCAACAAUAGU